RNAcentral lists this ribosomal RNA (253 nucleotides) under uncultured bacterium. RNAcentral's name for it is "partial 16S ribosomal RNA". It matches the Rfam family "Bacterial small subunit ribosomal RNA", at positions 524 to 776 of the family's 1533-position model. The record is from RNAcentral.
UACGAAGGAUUCGAGCGUUAUCCGGAUUUAUUGGGCUUAAAGGGUGCGUAGGUGGACUAAUAAGUCUGUGGUGAAAGCCCGCAGCUUAACUGCGGAACUGCCAUUGAUACUGUUAGUCUUGAGUACAGUUGAGGUGGGCGGAAUGUGUCAUGUAGCGGUGAAAUGCUUAGAUAUGACACAGAACACCGAUGGCGAAGGCAGCUCACUAAGCUGUAACUGACACUGAGGCACGAAAGCGUGGGGAGCAAACAGG